UACGGAGGGGGCUAGCGUUGUUCGGAAUCACUGGGCGUAAAGCGCGCGUAGGUGGUUGGGAAAGUUGAGAGUGAAAGCCCGGGGCUUAACCCCGGAAUUGCUCCCAAAACUUCUCGACUAGAGACUUGGAGAGGUAAGCGGAAUUCCGAGUGUAGAGGUGAAAUUCGUAGAUAUUCGGAAGAACACCGGUUGCGAAGGCGGCUUACUGGCCAAGUUCUGACACUGAGGUGCGAAAGCGUGGGGAGCAAACAGG
Molecule: ribosomal RNA, 253 nt
Filed under: uncultured bacterium
Lineage: Bacteria
Description: partial 16S ribosomal RNA
Rfam family: Bacterial small subunit ribosomal RNA
Source: RNAcentral